GACAGAGGGUGCGAACGUUGUUCGGAAUUACUGGGCGUAAAGCGCGUGUAGGCGGCAGCGCAAGUCGGGCGUGAAAUCCCACGGCUCAACCGUGGAAGUGCACUCGAAACUGCGCAGCUAGAGUCCUGGAGAGGAAGGUGGAAUGCUUGGUGUAGAGGUGAAAUUCGUAGAUAUCAAGCGGAACACCGGUGGCGAAGGCGACCUGCUGGGCAGUAGCUGACACUGAGGCGCGACAGCGUGGGGAGCAAACAGG
This 253-nucleotide ribosomal RNA is filed under the name uncultured bacterium. RNAcentral describes it as "partial 16S ribosomal RNA". It matches the Rfam family "Bacterial small subunit ribosomal RNA", at positions 524 to 776 of the family's 1533-position model. The record is from RNAcentral.